Long non-coding RNA from Bactrocera oleae (olive fruit fly), 6033 nucleotides. RefSeq lists it as uncharacterized. The record is from RefSeq and is a predicted model, not a curated record. Lineage: Eukaryota; Metazoa; Arthropoda; Insecta; Diptera; Tephritidae.
AUUCAUUGCUUUCCUGUCAUUUUUGGUGUAGCUGUAAAGAGAGCAAUACGGAAAUGCAAGUUAAUAAAAACAAAUUACAAAAAAUAUCAGAGAAUUAGUAUGAGUUGGAAGUUGUGGUUGUGCUGGUAAACAAACAAGUUGUAAGCGCGAUAUACAUGUUUGAUGGCGAGAAGUUCGCAACAGACUUGUUGAAGCGCACAAAAUACCGAACAGUCUUUCGGAUACUCUCUUUUCAUUUAUUAUACUUUAUACGCGAUUCGCAUACAUCCACUCUCUUAAUAUUCAGGGCAAACGCUGAUGCCAGCAGUGUAUUGAAUGUUAGUUAACAUUUACUGCUUGAAGUUUAUUACAAAAAUAAAUAUGUACUCUUUUCAUAACCGUAGUCAACAUUUCUAAAAGCUAAAAAUAACUUUGCUGCAUUAAAUAUAAUAUGUGAAACUUUCUCAUAUUCCAGCAACUUAAAAGUUCAAGGACGUAGCUGUUACGCAAUACAAGGUCAAGUUCGUGGUCUCCAAAGUUUCCUUUUCGGUGUUACAAACUUCGUAACACACUUAAUAUACUCUGUUCAUUCAUCGACUCGCUGCCAUAAACCAGCUAAAAAAUAGAAAUACAACUAAGUCCAAACUCAUCCUUUGCUAAAAAACUGGCCACGAUAUCAGACCUUCCUCAACAAUUGAAUUUCUUACAAUAAAAGAAAAUAAAUCGAGCAAAACAGAAUGCUCAUAAAAGUUGCAAAAGGAAACGACGGUGCAAUUCAUAGCAAUAAAAACAAAACAGCAGAUCAAAACAGAAAUAGAGACGCCGCAUUUAAGUUUAACAAAAAAGAAUGAGGUAUAAAAACAAAAUACAGAUAAAGUAAAUGGACAAAAUGUAAAGCAACAAAAAACAAAAAUUAUUUUGUAAAUGCAAGCAGCGAUGGGUACACAAAACUAAAGUAAACCAGCGAAUAUAGUGGACAGAGGGCAAUGAGACACGAACUGGGAAACGAAGACAGAUAAUGAAUGGAGCACAAGGUAGAGUGGAGAGUAAGCUGGUUGCAGAAUUCUGCCGCUACAACAACAACAACAGUAAGCUGGUUAAGAGAGCAUACUAUGAAAAACAUAUUUAACCGGUAGGAUUUUAAUUGGUUUUGUUUAUUAAUUUUUUAUGAAGCGAUAAAUUUUUAAAGGGGUAAUUGUGUUUAUUUUUUGGUAGAUGGUGAAAUUUGAUUAUAUGACAAAUGGUGGAUGCUAAUUUUGUUGUUUUUUUUGAUAAUUUUUUAUUAGAUAAGAAAUAUAUAACGUUAGCAUAGGGAUAGCCGUUACGCGAUCACAAAUUUUUAAUGUUGGUAAGAACAUGAAGCAUAUUCAGCCCCUGCAGAGUGGUAGGAGGUUUGUCGAUAACAUACAAGACAGUUUAAUCCGAAAUUCAUUAUUUGAAAGAAUAACGAAGCAGACCUAUUCAGGAAAUUUAUGGAACCAACUUUAGUUUGUUGAGACAUUCAUAAACCAAAAUGUAAUAUUAAAAUGGCAGCAGUAUCUAGUACCGACUGAUGUGGUUUAGGCUAUAAAAUUAUCAGACAUGUAUCUUUAAUCUUGUAUAAAUUACCGUAAAACAACAAUUUUGACAAUUUUUUGUUUUAAUUUAAAUGAGAGCUUGACGAUUCAUAUUUAAGGUUAAGCAACAUGUAUAAAGAAGGUUCCAGACAAACUUUAUAGAAUUGAGUACGUUAUAGUUAUACAAAAUAUAUUACAGUCAGCGUCCAGUAAAACGAGCUUUCGAAAUAACGAAUAGACAGUUUUACGAACCAUCAAAAUUAUAUUAUUGAUGUUUCUAUAUUACGAACGCAAACAAAUUUAAUUUUUCGAUAUUGCGAACGCUGCCAUAUUUUUAUCUUAAACUUCGCAUUCUUUGCAAAAAACAAGGGUUUCGUUAAACCAACGAUAGUUUUAUUGUUGUACAACAUCUGUAGAAAAUAUAAAUUAAUUUUUUUUUUUCAUGUUUCCAUUUAUUUUGAAUUAAACGUAAUUCAGUCAGUUCAAAAUAUUACUUUUUUCGUGCGGUUGAUUCCAUUUCGUUUAGUUUAGAAAGUGCAAUAUCAAAUAGAAAGCGUUUACCCUUGGAAAAUAAACUAAAGAUUUUGAACGAUUCACCAAGCGGCUUUCAGUAAAGGCCAUAUCCGCGAAAUAUAGAGUUUCAAAAUUGUCAGUUUAUAGUAUAAAAAAAUUAAAUUUAAAAUCGAGGAACACUUUCAAUAAACCCAUCGCACGAAAGCAGUACGUACGUCAUUUAAACAAAGUGAAAUUCCUAGAAUGGAGCAGGCCCUCUACAAAUGGUUUAUGACUCUACGUCGAAACUAUAUACCUAUUAGUGGAGUCAUUUUAAAUACAAUGGCAUUAAAAAAAAAGCUUCAGAAUAUCUGAACUAAAUAGUGUGGAGCCAUUUAUAAACAAGCUAGAGAGCGUAAUAAAAAUAAUAAUUUUAUUUGAAAUUGUUUCCUGAAAAACAUACGUUGUGCCAGAAGAAGCAUCUGUGCUAGGAAGAAAGAACACCAAAGAAAGAUUUACAUGUUUAGCGUGCGCCAAUUUACCAAGAAAUUACCACUUUUAGUAACUGUAAAAUCUCAGAUAAGUUAAUUAAUGGAGUAAUAGAUUUAAAAAAUUUUAGAUUUUACGAAUUUGGUAGAAUUACACCUUCAGAUUUGUUAUAUUAGACGAGAUACCAUAUAUUUGAUGUAUGUCUUUUCUUCCGAAAACGAGAUACCAAAUUUCUAAAGCGAUAAAACAUACUUAUAUCAAAAGAACACUGAACACUGAGUCCACUUCCGAAUUAAAGUGGGGUUUUGAUAGAAGUCUUCCACGAAAUAUAAAGUUAUACAGAUAAAUGUAGCGGUAUUCACUGUGACCUUUGUCCUCCUGUAGAAACGUUUAAUCAUAAAAAGGCCGCAACAAGCACUUGAUAUUUUCACGUUUUGACAAAGCAUUAAAUUUAGAGCGGUAAGGUAACCACCAAGACGGCAAUUGUGGAGUUAUGACUUUUAUCCUUUUUUCUUUUCUGUAUUGUUUUUAGAUAUCCGAAAAAUUUUUUUUGUAAACAUUUUUUUGCAUGAGUAGCAGUUUUGAUACGAGUACAAAAAAAUCGAAGUCCGACUAAUUUUUCAGGUUUCACUUAAGAAGCAUAUAUCAAAAAUGUUGAAGUAAUAAAUCGAGUUUCUAUUGCUUUUCUAACAAUUCCUGGAACUACAUACAUAUGUAUGUAUGUUCAUACGUGUGUAUGUUAUUAGAUUUAUAUGUAAAAUUGUAUUUAGUACGUCCAUAUGUUUGAAAUUGAAGUCAGGUUGAAUGAACUUCGUUGGGUUAAUUUUAUUAUUAUUUAUUUUACACAAGAGCAUUUAAACUUCUGGUUAAAAUACAUUCAUACAUACUAUUGUGUAUGCAUAAGUAUAUGUACAUAUGUUCGUUAGCAUUUGUCGGCUCUUUUGGCCACUCAGCUCGCAUGCACACAUUAGAGUAAUGCUACACAGACACUUUCAAUGAACGGAAAUUGUAAUAAAUUGCAGAAAGCAGUUUCCAAAAGUAUCGGUUAUUUGAAUUGUUAAACUACACAUUCACAGGCAAUUAAUACAACUUUUAAUUAUCACUUUUAUAUUUGGUAUUUUGUUUAUAUUUCCAAAGUGCAGUCAAAUUUUCACACGACGCUGCAAACGCUUAGCUAUUUGCUUUUGCCAUUUCUCCCUUAUGAAGUAGGCAUGAAGCGAACGAGCGCAAAAUACACGCAACGAGAGCGCGACGAUUGUACUAAAAGCCGACAAGCGCCGAGAGCGCCAGAGAACAAUAACGGAAAUGAAGACACAGAGAAAUGGCAAACAGCGCUGCUACCAACACACCUGCGAUGACGGCGACGCAACAGCGCUGCCGACCGCGACAGCGCCGUGUGUAUCUAUGAGUUUAUCUGUAGAUACAUGCAUACAUGUGUGUGUGCGUGAUGCGUACGCACAUCUGCUUGCUUUAUAAUUUUCACAGCGUAACGCACUACGAUUUCAUUCAUUAUACACAAUUUUAAUUUCAGUAUACACUUUGGAUAAGUUUCGAUAAUAAUGCUGGUGUUCAGCGUGUUUUAUUGGUAAAUAAAUAGAAAUUACCAGAAAUAAUCACAGUUUCUUUUUAGUUUGACUGAGUGCAUUGCAUUUUUCUCACCGGCGUGUAUGCGUUUUUAGCAAACAGCGAAUGCAUAUUUUUGCCGAGCGUUGUUCACACACCCACUAGAACAUUUAGAAUGCGUCACUUAGGCGUCGCAGCUGGCUAUGCGAUAGUCAACGUCGUUUUGGCGGCUUGUUUUUCAGUUGCAGUUUCACAUUUUUAAUUAUAAUUGCACACACACAUAUGCAUACAUGCGCAUAUCCAUAAGUUCGCUUCUAGUAAUUUUGAGAUAUUUACACGUUUUAUUUCCGCAGAAACACACAAUGGUCAAUUCAUUCAUAAAUACAAAUUGAGUUGAGAUAGGUAACAGUUUCCAGCACACGGUUGAAAAUAUCAGUUAGCAGAAUUCGCAACUGAUUAUGGAAUAUGCUAGAAUUGAAAGCCAUAUUUUUAUAAAUAUCAUUAUGGAUACCACCAAUACUUUAAAUUUUUUAAAUUUCGUCCUCAAUUGUUAUAAUAAUUAGUAUAUGAUUUCUCUUUUUAAAUGUAAAAAGAAACGAAUGAAAUGAAAAGAAGAAAACGUCAAGACCCUAUAAAACAAAAUAUGAAAGCUUGGCCAGCUAAUUCGAUUUAGCCAUGUCCGUCCGUCCGUCGAUCUGUAUAAACGCGAAUUAGUUCUUAAGUUUUUCUUUUUCUUCCCAAGAAAUUGCUAAUUUUUCGAAAUUGCCGAUAUGGAAAACUUGUUCUAACUUAUAUAUAAUAUACCUUUACUUUUAUUUCUGGUUUAAUUUGACCGGACUAUUAUUAUUUAGGUAUAUAAUUUUGAUGUAGAAGGACUUGUUUAAAGGGAUAUUGAUAGUUUUGUGCAAAUCUAAUCAAUUUUAUAGAUGUCUGCGUAAAAUAUCAGACUAAAUUUAAUAUAAAUAUUGUUAAUGUAAAUUUCCGACAUUUUUGAACGUCGAGUUAAAUAAUAAUCCUCAACUAAUAUACAUAUUAAAUAUAUUUACGAGAACUUUAGGGGUGCUGUGGUUUUUUUUUUGCUGGGGUUUUGUUAAAUUAAUACAGGUUUUAAUUUGUUCUAAUCUAGGUCGGUCCGAAAAACCAGAAUACUUGAUAGAUGCAAUUAUUCGAAAUUAAUUCGAUUAUUUUCUCUAAUUUUUUAAUAAAGAUCUGCCAUUGCCGCAGAAUGCAUCGAAAUCGCUAAACUGUAUAUCAACCAAAAAAAAAUAUAGCGUAAAUAAAGGACGUGUUCUAGUCCUUAUUUGUAUUAUUUAAAAUUUAUUUAAAUUUUUUCAUAUAUUGUUUUUUGUUUUUUUUUGGCAUUUGGCAUUUAAGUUAUUUUUCAAUAUUUUUCUAUUUGUUUAUUUUUACUUCACUAUUAUUUAAAAAGAAAAAAAAUUCAUUGACAUAUUUCAACUUCAUUUAAAACUGUUUAACUCAGUUCUAUUUACUUGCUUAUUUUCUUUUGUGCUUUUUCAUUGCAUAUGUUUCGAUUCCAACAUUUCCUAUUUCAGUUCCAGUCGUUCCGUUUCUUUAUACACCAAUUUGAUUCCUUUCAUGUCAUUUUAGCAGAAUUUUACUAAAUUUCACUUUUUUAGUUCAACUUUACUUCAUUUAAUUCCAUUUCACGAUAUUCCCUUAAAUGUGCUGUCAUUACAUAUCGUUUUCAAUAAUUCCACGCGUUUUAAUUGCUUUGCAUUUCACUUCAAACUAAUUAUUUCAGUUGUUUGUCUGUUUAAAAUCUCUAAAAAUGUAUUAUUUGACAUUUUAAUGAAUAAAAAUAAUUUAUUUUACUUUAAUAUAAAUAAAAUGUUUAAAAUUUGGGCCACCCUGCCUUUGAGCAACUUUUGUUUUUCCAUAAGGCACACCAACAUAUUUAACUGUUUUACUUUUUUUUUUUUUUUUUGGUAUUUUU